AUAACAUUCGGAAACGGGUGCUAAUACCGCAUAAGACCACGACAUGGCAUCAUGACGAGGUCAAAGGAGCAAUCCGCUGAGAGAGGGGCUCGCGUACCAUUAGCUAGUUGGUGGGGUAAUGGCCUACCAAGGCGACGAUGGUUAGCUGGUCUGAGAGGAUGAUCAGCCACACUGGAACUGAGACACGGUCCAGACUCCUACGGGAGGCAGCAGUGGGGAAUUUUGCGCAAUGGGGGAAACCCUGACGCAGCAACGCCGCGUGGGUGAUGAAGGCCUUCGGGUCGUAAAGCCCUGUCGGGAGGGAAGAAAUGAUUGUGAGCUAAUACCUCAUGGUCUUGACGGUACCUCCGAAGGAAGCACCGGCUAACUCCGUGCCANCAGCCGCGGUAAUACGGAGGGUGC
This 402-nucleotide ribosomal RNA is filed under the name uncultured bacterium. RNAcentral describes it as "bacterial SSU rRNA". It matches the Rfam family "Bacterial small subunit ribosomal RNA", at positions 143 to 535 of the family's 1533-position model. The record is from RNAcentral.